This 515-nucleotide ribosomal RNA is filed under the name uncultured bacterium. RNAcentral describes it as "partial 16S ribosomal RNA". It matches the Rfam family "Bacterial small subunit ribosomal RNA", at positions 28 to 523 of the family's 1533-position model. The record is from RNAcentral.
GAUGAACGCUGGCGGCGUGCCUAAUACAUGCAAGUCGAGCGAAUGGAUUAAGAGCUUGCUCUUAUGAAGUUAGCGGCGGACGGGUGAGUAACACGUGGGUAACCUGCCCAUAAGACUGGGAUAACUCCGGGAAACCGGGGCUAAUACCGGAUAACAUUUUGAACCGCAUGGUUCGAAAUUGAAAGGCGGCUUCGGCUGUCACUUAUGGAUGGACCCGCGUCGCAUUAGCUAGUUGGUGAGGUAACGGCUCACCAAGGCAACGAUGCGUAGCCGACCUGAGAGGGUGAUCGGCCACACUGGGACUGAGACACGGCCCAGAAUCCGACGGGAGGCAGCAGUAGGGAAUCUUCCGCAAUGGACGAAAGUCUGACGGAGCAACGCCGCGUGAGUGAUGAGGGCUUUCGGGUCGUAAAACUCUGUUGUUAGGGAAGAACAAGUGCUAGUUGAAUAAGCUGGCACCUUGACGGUACCUAACCAGAAAGCCACGGCUAACUACGUGCCAGCCGCCGCGGUAA